GACGAACGCUGGCGGCGUGCUUAACACAUGCAAGUCGAACGGAAAGGCCCUGCUUUUGUGGGGUGCUCGAGUGGCGAACGGGUGAGUAACACGUGAGUAACCUGCCCUUGACUUUGUGAUAACUUCAGGAAACUGGGGCUAAUACCGGAUAGGAGCUCCUGCUGCAUGUUGGGGGUUGGAAAGUUUCGGCGGUUGGGGAUGUACUCGCGGCUUAUCAGCUUGUUGGUGGGGUAGUGGCUUACCAAGGCUUUGACGGGUAGCCGGCCUGAGAGGGUGACCGGCCACAUUGGGACUGAGAUACGGCCCAGACUCCUACGGGAGGCAGCAGUGGGGAAUAUUGCACAAUGGGCGGAAGCCUGAUGCAGCAACGCCGCGUGCGGGAUGACGGCCUUCGGGUUGUAAACCGCUUUCGCCUGUGACGAAGCGUGAGUGACGGUAAUGGGUAAAGAAGCACCGGCUAACUACGUG
Molecule: ribosomal RNA, 468 nt
Filed under: uncultured bacterium
Lineage: Bacteria
Description: partial 16S ribosomal RNA
Rfam family: Bacterial small subunit ribosomal RNA
Source: RNAcentral